RNAcentral lists this small RNA (131 nucleotides) under Salmonella enterica. RNAcentral describes it as "RtT sRNA". It matches the Rfam family "RtT RNA". From Rfam's summary of the family: This family represents a bacterial cis-regulatory element known as RtT RNA. The record is from RNAcentral. Lineage: Bacteria; Pseudomonadati; Pseudomonadota; Gammaproteobacteria; Enterobacterales; Enterobacteriaceae.
AUAUCUCUCUGUACGGGAAGGAUGAGAAGCUUCGACCAAGGUUCGAUUCGAGCGCAGCGAGAAAGCGUUGCCGCAGGCAGCGACCCGAAGGGCGAAGCGCGCAGCGCUGAGUCAUCCUUCCCCCACCACCA